AGCGAACGCUGGCGGCAGGCCUAACACAUGCCAGUCGAACGAACUCUUCGGAGUUAGUGGCGGACGGGUGAGUAACACGUGGGAACGUGCCUUUAGGUUCGGAAUAACUCAGGGAAACUUGAGCUAAUACCGGAUGUGCCCUUCGGGGGAAAGAUUUAUCGCCUUUAGAGCGGCCCGCGUCUGAUUAGCUAGUUGGUGAGGUAAAGGCUCACCAAGGCGACGAUCAGUAGCUGGUCUGAGAGGAUGAUCAGCCACAUUGGGACUGAGACACGGCCCAAACUCCUACGGGAGGCAGCAGUGGGGAAUCUUGCGCAAUGGGCGAAAGCCUGACGCAGCCAUGCCGCGUGAAUGAUGAAGGUCUUAGGAUUGUAAAAUUCUUUCACCGGGGACGAUAAUGACGGUACCCGGAGAAGAAGCCCCGGCUAACUUCGUG
This 433-nucleotide ribosomal RNA is filed under the name uncultured bacterium. RNAcentral's name for it is "partial 16S ribosomal RNA". It matches the Rfam family "Bacterial small subunit ribosomal RNA", at positions 29 to 507 of the family's 1533-position model. The record is from RNAcentral.